CCCCAAUAUCUUGCCAGCAAUCCCUAAUAGCCCUUGUUACAGCCUGCACUUUUUUCCAAAUACUUUCUACCUUUUUUUUUUUUUUUUUUUUUUUGAGACAAGAGUCUCUCUGUCGCUCAGGCUGGAGUGCAGUGGCACGAUCUUGGCUCACUGCAAGCUCCGCCUCCCAGGUUCACGCCAUUCUCCUGCCUCAGCCUCCUGAGUAGCUGGGACUAUAGGUGCCCGCCACCACGCCCGGCUAAUUUUUUGCAUUUUUUCAGUAGAGACGGGGUUUCACCGUGUUAGCCAGGAUGGUCUCGAUCUCCCGACCUCGUGAUUCGCCCAUCUUGGCCUCCUGAAGUGCUGGGGAUUACAGGCGUUGAGCCACAGCACCCGGCCCUUCUACCCUCUUAUAUACCUGUUGUCUCUUCCCCCACUAGAAGAAUUCUCCCCAGUGACCCAGGACCAGGCGGCUGCCGGGGGGCCGAGAGCCUUCACUAAAUGUGACACAUCAGUGACUACAGCCCUGAAAUUCAAAUUGGAAGCCCAGGCUUGUGCUCAUGUCCAGCAAAUCCAACAGGUCACUUCAUCCUGGCCCAGGUACAGCAGCUCCAAAUCGUGGGGAUUCUGUAAGAGCUUGCUACCUGUUGACUGAGGAGGCCCACAAGUCGAGGAGAACUAUCAAGAGUGGUACAAAACUGCAGGUCAUUGGGCUGGCCACCAGGUAUUCCCACCCACCAGAAGCUGGCUGUUGUACUCACCCGGAACCAUGGUGCACCACCACAGCAGCGAGGUCAUACAGGCAGCUCUCCGGGCCACUGUUCUCAGGCUACAGAACAAGGAAGAAGGAGCAGUGGUCAAUGACAUCGGUAUCUCAAUGACCUCUACCCUCUCCAUGUGAUGACAAUCUUACUGAAGAGCCAUUUUUUCACCACGCUAAAAAGGGAAGAGGAGCACAGCAGUAAUGCUGAUGGGAAGAAGGUGCUGACAGAUGGACUCACUGGGGUCACAGCAACAAUCGACAGUGCAAGUGGCAAACAUUGUGUAAAAUACUCCAAAUCCAAGACACACAUUUAUAAAAGUCUGUAACAGGUCAAAGAAUAAACUCCAGCUGCCCUCAACACCUAGAGCAUGGAAACCUCCCUGACUGCUUCAUCAGGCCCACUGGGGCCCACAUGUAUUUGAAGUUAACCGAGGAGCUCUACUUCCUUGGAAAUCCCCCUUGCUCCUCCGGCAGAGGUGGGCUGGACACUGCUCCUGGCAAAGCUGGCCGGGAAGAUGCAGCCCGUGGGACACUCCCCACCACCACUCUCACUGUCUGACCGACUGCGAAGCUUCACAGACCAGAAGGCUCAUUCUUCACAACAAAAGGAAAACCCUGGUCUGACACGACUGUUCUGAAAUUUAACAGCCAAUUGGGUCCAGCAGCUUUGCCUCUUUACCCUUUCAUCACCAAAGUAUACUACUGAGAAAGAAUCAAAUGAAACAAAAAAAGACUCAACAAGACCUCACUCGUAUUAACUGGACUCUACAAGCAGUGAGCAUCCGGACCUGCAUUCGGUUACAAAAGAAGCCUUCAAGCUAUUUUCAUCACCUUCCUAAUCAAGUUAAAAAAUAAACCACAAAACUGAGU
This is a long non-coding RNA of Symphalangus syndactylus (siamang), 1612 nucleotides long. RefSeq lists it as uncharacterized. The record is from RefSeq and is a predicted model, not a curated record. Lineage: Eukaryota; Metazoa; Chordata; Mammalia; Primates; Hylobatidae.